GGGUUGUGAGGUUAAGCGACUAAGCGUACACGGUGGAUGCCCUGGCAGUCAGAGGCGAUGAAGGACGUGCUAAUCUGCGAUAAGCGUCGGUAAGGUGAUAUGAACCGUUAUAACCGGCGAUUUCCGAAUGGGGAAACCCAGUGUGAUUCGUCACACUAUCAUUAACUGAAUCCAUAGGUUAAUGAGGCGAACCGGGGGAACUGAAACAUCUAAGUACCCCGAGGAAAAGAAAUCAACCGAGAUUCCCCCAGUAGCGGCGAGCGAACGGGGAGCAGCCCAGAGCCUGAAUCAGUAUGUGUGUUAGUGGAAGCGUCUGGAAAGGCGCGCGAUACAGGGUGACAGCCCCGUACACAAAAAUGCACAUGCUGUGAGCUCGAUGAGUAGGGCGGGACACGUGGUAUCCUGUCUGAAUAUGGGGGGACCAUCCUCCAAGGCUAAAUACUCCUGACUGACCGAUAGUGAACCAGUACCGUGAGGGAAAGGCGAAAAGAACCCCGGCGAGGGGAGUGAAAAAGAACCUGAAACCGUGUACGUACAAGCAGUGGGAGCACAGAGCAAUCUGUGUGACUGCGUACCUUUUGUAUAAUGGGUCAGCGACUUAUAUUCUGUAGCAAGGUUAACCGAAUAGGGGAGCCGAAGGGAAACCGAGUCUUAACUGGGCGUUAAGUUGCAGGGUAUAGACCCGAAACCCGGUGAUCUAGCCAUGGGCAGGUUGAAGGUUGGGUAACACUAACUGGAGGACCGAACCGACUAAUGUUGAAAAAUUAGCGGAUGACUUGUGGCUGGGGGUGAAAGGCCAAUCAAACCGGGAGAUAGCUGGUUCUCCCCGAAAGCUAUUUAGGUAGCGCCUCGUGAAUUCAUCUCCGGGGGUAGAGCACUGUUUCGGCAAGGGGGUCAUCCCGACUUACCAACCCGAUGCAAACUGCGAAUACCGGAGAAUGUUAUCACGGGAGACACACGGCGGGUGCUAACGUCCGUCGUGAAGAGGGAAACAACCCAGACCGCCAGCUAAGGUCCCAAAGUCAUGGUUAAGUGGGAAACGAUGUGGGAAGGCCCAGACAGCCAGGAUGUUGGCUUAGAAGCAGCCAUCAUUUAAAGAAAGCGUAAUAGCUCACUGGUCGAGUCGGCCUGCGCGGAAGAUGUAACGGGGCUAAACCAUGCACCGAAGCUGCGGCAGCGACGCUGAUGCGUUGUUGGGUAGGGGAGCGUUCUGUAAGCCUGUGAAGGUGUGCUGUGAGGCAUGCUGGAGGUAUCAGAAGUGCGAAUGCUGACAUAAGUAACGAUAAAGCGGGUGAAAAGCCCGCUCGCCGGAAGACCAAGGGUUCCUGUCCAACGUUAAUCGGGGCAGGGUGAGUCGACCCCUAAGGCGAGGCCGAAAGGCGUAGUCGAUGGGAAACAGGUUAAUAUUCCUGUACUUGGUGUUACUGCGAAGGGGGGACGGAGAAGGCUAUGUUGGCCGGGCGACGGUUGUCCCGGUUUAAGCGUGUAGGCUGGUUUUCCAGGCAAAUCCGGAAAAUCAAGGCUGAGGCGUGAUGACGAGGCACUACGGUGCUGAAGCAACAAAUGCCCUGCUUCCAGGAAAAGCCUCUAAGCAUCAGGUAACAUCAAAUCGUACCCCAAACCGACACAGGUGGUCAGGUAGAGAAUACCAAGGCGCUUGAGAGAACUCGGGUGAAGGAACUAGGCAAAAUGGUGCCGUAACUUCGGGAGAAGGCACGCUGAUAUGUAGGUGAAGUCCCUCGCGGAUGGAGCUGAAAUCAGUCGAAGAUACCAGCUGGCUGCAACUGUUUAUUAAAAACACAGCACUGUGCAAACACGAAAGUGGACGUAUACGGUGUGACGCCUGCCCGGUGCCGGAAGGUUAAUUGAUGGGGUCAGCGCAAGCGAAGCUCUUGAUCGAAGCCCCGGUAAACGGCGGCCGUAACUAUAACGGUCCUAAGGUAGCGAAAUUCCUUGUCGGGUAAGUUCCGACCUGCACGAAUGGCGUAAUGAUGGCCAGGCUGUCUCCACCCGAGACUCAGUGAAAUUGAACUCGCUGUGAAGAUGCAGUGUACCCGCGGCAAGACGGAAAGACCCCGUGAACCUUUACUAUAGCUUGACACUGAACAUUGAGCCUUGAUGUGUAGGAUAGGUGGGAGGCUUGGAAGUGUGGACGCCAGUCUGCAUGGAGCCGACCUUGAAAUACCACCCUUUAAUGUUUGAUGUUCUAACGUUGACCCGUAAUCCGGGUUGCGGACAGUGUCUGGUGGGUAGUUUGACUGGGGCGGUCUCCUCCUAAAGAGUAACGGAGGAGCACGAAGGUUGGCUAAUCCUGGUCGGACAUCAGGAGGUUAGUGCAAUGGCAUAAGCCAGCUUGACUGCGAGCGUGACGGCGCGAGCAGGUGCGAAAGCAGGUCAUAGUGAUCCGGUGGUUCUGAAUGGAAGGGCCAUCGCUCAACGGAUAAAAGGUACUCCGGGGAUAACAGGCUGAUACCGCCCAAGAGUUCAUAUCGACGGCGGUGUUUGGCACCUCGAUGUCGGCUCAUCACAUCCUGGGGCUGAAGUAGGUCCCAAGGGUAUGGCUGUUCGCCAUUUAAAGUGGUACGCGAGCUGGGUUUAGAACGUCGUGAGACAGUUCGGUCCCUAUCUGCCGUGGGCGCUGGAGAACUGAGGGGGGCUGCUCCUAGUACGAGAGGACCGGAGUGGACGCAUCACUGGUGUUCGGGUUGUCAUGCCAAUGGCACUGCCCGGUAGCUAAAUGCGGAAGAGAUAAGUGCUGAAAGCAUCUAAGCACGAAACUUGCCCCGAGAUGAGUUCUCCCUGACUCCUUGAGAGUCCUGAAGGAACGUUGAAGACGACGACGUUGAUAGGCCGGGUGUGUAAGCGCAGCGAUGCGUUGAGCUAACCGGUACUAAUGAACCGUGAGGCUUAACCUUACAACGCCGAAGGUGUUU
RNAcentral lists this ribosomal RNA (2933 nucleotides) under Escherichia coli. RNAcentral describes it as "23S ribosomal RNA". It matches the Rfam family "Bacterial large subunit ribosomal RNA". Lineage: Bacteria; Pseudomonadati; Pseudomonadota; Gammaproteobacteria; Enterobacterales; Enterobacteriaceae. The record is from RNAcentral.